Molecule: ribosomal RNA, 279 nt
Filed under: uncultured bacterium
Lineage: Bacteria
Description: partial 16S ribosomal RNA
Rfam family: Bacterial small subunit ribosomal RNA
Source: RNAcentral
UGCCAGCAGCCGCGGUAAUACGGGGGGUGCAAGCGUUGUUCGGAAUUAUUGGGCGUAAAGCGUGCGUAGGCGGACUAUUAAGUCUGAUGUGAAAUCCCUCGGCUCAACCGAGGACCUGCAUUGGAUACUGGUAGUCUUGAGUCCCGGAGAGGAUAGCGGAAUUCCUAGUGUAGAGGUGAAAUUUGUAGAUAUUUGGAGGAACACCAGUGGCGAAGGCGGCUUUCUGGACAGUGACUGACGCUGAGGCGCGAAAGUGUGGGUAGCAAACAGGAUUAGAUA